UCCUGGUGUUCAUUGCGAUGUAGCCCCACUCCGAUCCAUCCCGAACUCGGUUGUGAAAUGCGUCAGCGGCGACGAUAUUUGGGGGGAAGCCCCCUGAGAAAAUAGCUCAAUGCCAGGUA
Molecule: ribosomal RNA, 119 nt
Filed under: Prochlorococcus sp. MIT 0602
Lineage: Bacteria; Bacillati; Cyanobacteriota; Cyanophyceae; Synechococcales; Prochlorococcaceae
Also listed under: 1 other name
Source: RNAcentral